ACUACGGGAGGCAGCAGUGAGGAAUAUUGGUCAAUGGACGCAAGCCUGAACCAGCCAAGCAGCGUGAAGGAUGACUGCUCUAUGAGUUGUAAACUUCUUUUGUAAGAGGGUAAACGCAGAUACGAGUACCUGUUUGAAAGUACCGUACGAAUAAGGAUCGGCUAACUCCGUGCCAGCAGCCGCGGUAAUACGGAGGAUACAAGCGUUAUCCGGAUUUAUUGGGUUUAAAGGGUGCGUAGGCGGUCGGUUAAGUUAGUGGUGAAAUACCGAGGCUCAACUUCGGAAUUGCAUAUGAUACUUGUCUGCUAGAGAGUAGUUGCGGUAGGCGGAAUGUAUGGUGUAGCGGUGAAAUGCUUAGAGAUCAUGCAGAACACCGAUUGCGAAGGCAGCUUACCAAGCUACUUCUGACGCUGAGGCACGAAGGCCAGGGGAGCGAAAGGGAUUAGAUACCCCAGUAGUC
This 460-nucleotide ribosomal RNA is filed under the name uncultured bacterium. RNAcentral's name for it is "partial 16S ribosomal RNA". It matches the Rfam family "Bacterial small subunit ribosomal RNA", at positions 338 to 795 of the family's 1533-position model. The record is from RNAcentral.